RNAcentral lists this ribosomal RNA (1506 nucleotides) under metagenome. RNAcentral describes it as "bacterial SSU rRNA". It matches the Rfam family "Bacterial small subunit ribosomal RNA". The record is from RNAcentral.
AGAGUUUGAUCCUGGCUCAGGACGAACGCUGGCGGCGUGCCUAAUACAUGCAAGUAGAACGCUGAAGAGAGGAGCUUGCUCUUCUUGGAUGAGUUGCGAACGGGUGAGUAACGCGUAGGUAACCUGCCUUGUAGCGGGGGAUAACUAUUGGAAACGAUAGCUAAUACCGCAUAACAAUGGAUGACACAUGUCAUUUAUUUGAAAGGGGCAAUUGUUCCACUACAAGAUGGACCUGCGUUGUAUUAGCUAGUAGGUGAGGUAAUGGCUCACCUAGGCGACGAUACAUAGCCGACCUGAGAGGGUGAUCGGCCACACUGGGACUGAGACACGGCCCAGACUCCUACGGGAGGCAGCAGUAGGGAAUCUUCGGCAAUGGGGGCAACCCUGACCGAGCAACGCCGCGUGAGUGAAGAAGGUUUUCGGAUCGUAAAGCUCUGUUGUAAGUCAAGAACGGGUGUGAGAGUGGAAAGUUCACACUGUGACGGUAGCUUACCAGAAAGGGACGGCUAACUACGUGCCAGCAGCCGCGGUAAUACGUAGGUCCCGAGCGUUGUCCGGAUUUAUUGGGCGUAAAGCGAGCGCAGGCGGUUUGAUAAGUCUGAAGUUAAAGGCUGUGGCUCAACCAUAGUUCGCUUUGGAAACUGUCAAACUUGAGUGCAGAAGGGGAGAGUGGAAUUCCAUGUGUAGCGGUGAAAUGCGUAGAUAUAUGGAGGAACACCGGUGGCGAAAGCGGCUCUCUGGUCUGUAACUGACGCUGAGGCUCGAAAGCGUGGGGAGCGAACAGGAUUAGAUACCCUGGUAGUCCACGCCGUAAACGAUGAGUGCUAGGUGUUGGAUCCUUUCCGGGAUUCAGUGCCGCAGCUAACGCAUUAAGCACUCCGCAUGGGGAGUACGACCGCAAGGUUGAAACUCAAAGGAAUUGACGGGGGCCCGCACAAGCGGUGGAGCAUGUGGUUUAAUUCGAAGCAACGCGAAGAACCUUACCAGGUCUUGACAUCCCGAUGCUAUUUCUAGAGAUAGAAAGUUACUUCGGUACAUCGGUGACAGGUGGUGCAUGGUUGUCGUCAGCUCGUGUCGUGAGAUGUUGGGUUAAGUCCCGCAACGAGCGCAACCCCUAUUGUUAGUUGCCAUCAUUCAGUUGGGCACUCUAGCGAGACUGCCGGUAAUAAACCGGAGGAAGGUGGGGAUGACGUCAAAUCAUCAUGCCCCUUAUGACCUGGGCUACACACGUGCUACAAUGGUUGGUACAACGAGUUGCGAGUCGGUGACGGCGAGCUAAUCUCUUAAAGCCAAUCUCAGUUCGGAUUGUAGGCUGCAACUCGCCUACAUGAAGUCGGAAUCGCUAGUAAUCGCGGAUCAGCACGCCGCGGUGAAUACGUUCCCGGGCCUUGUACACACCGCCCGUCACACCACGAGAGUUUGUAACACCCGAAGUCGGUGAGGUAACCUUUUGGAGCCAGCCGCCUAAGGUGGGACAGAUGAUUGGGGUGAAGUCGUAACAAGGUA